AUUGAACGCUGGCGGCAUGCCUUACACAUGCAAGUCGAACGGCAGCACGGGAGCAAUCCUGGUGGCGAGUGGCGAACGGGUGAGUAAAGUAUCGGAACGUGCCCAGUCGUGGGGGAUAACGUAGCGAAAGUUACGCUAAUACCGCAUACGAUCUAUGGAUGAAAGCGGGGGAUCGCAAGACCUCGCGCGAUUGGAGCGGCAGAUAUCAGAUUAGGUAGUUGGUGGGGUAAAGGCUCACCAAGCCGACGAUCUGUAGCUGGUCUGAGAGGACGACCAGCCACACUGGGACUGAGACACGGCCCAGACUCCUACGGGAGGCAGCAGUGGGGAAUUUUGGACAAUGGGCGAAAGCCUGAUCCAGCCAUGCCGCGUGCAGGAUGAAGGCCUUCGGGUUGUAAACUGCUUUUAUACGGAACGAAAAGGUUUGGCCUAAUAAGCUGAGCUCAUGACGGUACCGUAAGAAUAAGCACCGGCUAACUACGUGCCAGCAGCCGCCGUAA
RNAcentral lists this ribosomal RNA (500 nucleotides) under uncultured bacterium. Its description in RNAcentral is "partial 16S ribosomal RNA". It matches the Rfam family "Bacterial small subunit ribosomal RNA", at positions 30 to 523 of the family's 1533-position model. The record is from RNAcentral.